CACGAGGCUACUGCGAAAGCAUUUGCCAAGAAUGUUUUCAUUAAUCAAGAUCGAAAGUCAGAGGUUCGAAGACGAUCAGAUACCGUCGUAGUUCUGACCAUAAACGAUGCCAACUAGCGAUCCGCCGGAGUUGCUUCAAUGACUCGGCGGGCAGCUUACGGGAAACCAAAGUUUUUGGGUUCCGGGGGAAGUAUGGUUGCAAAGCUGAAACUUAAAGGAAUUGACGGAUAUAUUUACUUCUUCAAAAAGAGGAGCUAUAUACGUGUGAGUCCUAAUACCCGAGGUGAAGUAAGCGGAUAUCCGGGAGAUGGCGCCGCAUCGUGGCUGAAAUCGUUGUGCAUAGAACCUCACCAAUAGGAACGCUUGCUUUCUGAGCACGUAUAUUCAUUUAGAAUUACGAAGAAAUCCACAUGAAGUGUUGACAAUGUCUCGCGUAUCUCAAAGUAUGUGAUGAUCCACGACACAUGUCCGUCAAACGAACAUAAAACUGGACAAACAUGAUUGGUCGAAAUGUUCGAA
RNAcentral lists this ribosomal RNA (519 nucleotides) under Azumapecten farreri. RNAcentral describes it as "partial 18S ribosomal RNA". The stretch from base 1 to 356 matches the Rfam family "Eukaryotic small subunit ribosomal RNA", at positions 931 to 1831 of the family's 1831-position model. Lineage: Eukaryota; Metazoa; Mollusca; Bivalvia; Pectinida; Pectinidae. The record is from RNAcentral.